Molecule: long non-coding RNA, 561 nt
Filed under: Rattus norvegicus (Norway rat)
Lineage: Eukaryota; Metazoa; Chordata; Mammalia; Rodentia; Muridae
Description: long non-coding RNA NONRATT014476
Source: RNAcentral
GCUCACCGUGGUGAGCCAGGCUGGAAACAAGAGGAGAGAGGACAGCAGAGCGCUGUCUCCCACUAAGGACGCUCUAUCUUAGGUUCUGGUUUAAGACGAUUACAAUCAUCCCAACUCACAGACCCAACCACGUAAGAGACACAAACGUCUGUUGAUUACGAACUAAACCCAAUUAUGAAAAAGGAAAUAGAUCAUUUACGGAUACAGGAUGUUACGCAAAUCACUUUGCCCGUUCUCCAAUUCUCUCAUUGGUUCUUCCCAAGAUCCCAGACAUUGUUCUAUGAGUACAGAACCUAGGAGAUCCAAAGGCCAGGGUGAUCCCCAGAGCCACACCCCAAGCUUUGGCCAGAGAAGGACAGGAAGGCAGGCGCUGGGACUCCACAUCUGGGGUUUCUCACAAAUUGCCUUGGCUUCCAAGCUGCACCUCCCUUGCUCUCGGGUGUUUCAAGCUUGUCCAAGGGGCAUAGUAAGUGUCAUUCUCCGCAGUUUUUAUUACUUGACUUUGCCCAUAAAUUCUAAUUCUGCGUACUGUUUCACUGAAAGGUUUGGGAAUGGCGGCCG